UUGAGUCUCGCGCCAUAUUUAAUUCAUAGAGUUUAGAGAAAGGAGAAGAGUGACUUUGCAUGCAUCGUUUUCUACAUCCACCACGCAAGUCCAAUGAAAGGAUGGAUGCUACAUUUAUUGCCUUGAAAAUUGCAUAUGUGAGAAAUAUUUCAUUGGCUAGUUUAAACUAGUGUCAUCCACACACAAUUCACCUUGAUUGAUGAGAUUUCAGAUUUGAGCCCUAUAAACCGAAAAUGAUGGAGUAUACUAGUGGUACACAAAGCCCAACUGCUUGACCAGCGAGCUAGCUACGCCGUCGUACGUACUACCUCCGUCCAAGUGUAUAGGAC
RNAcentral lists this long non-coding RNA (329 nucleotides) under Hordeum vulgare. RNAcentral describes it as "long non-coding RNA (HVUL_LNC008400)". Lineage: Eukaryota; Viridiplantae; Streptophyta; Magnoliopsida; Poales; Poaceae. The record is from RNAcentral.